RNAcentral lists this transfer RNA (68 nucleotides) under Exoglossum maxillingua (cutlips minnow). Its description in RNAcentral is "tRNA-Cys". It matches the Rfam family "tRNA". From Rfam's summary of the family: Transfer RNA (tRNA) molecules are approximately 80 nucleotides in length. Their secondary structure includes four short double-helical elements and three loops (D, anti-codon, and T loops). The record is from RNAcentral. Lineage: Eukaryota; Metazoa; Chordata; Actinopteri; Cypriniformes; Leuciscidae.
AGCCCCGUGGUGGAAAACCAUGUUGGAUUGCAAAUCCAGAGAUGCAGACUAAUACCCUGCCGGGGCUU